RNAcentral lists this small nuclear RNA (62 nucleotides) under Zalophus californianus (California sea lion). RNAcentral's name for it is "U7 small nuclear RNA (ENSZCAG00015022046.1)". It matches the Rfam family "U7 small nuclear RNA". Rfam says of the family: Animal histone pre-mRNAs are spliced by a different mechanism than nuclear pre-mRNAs and self-splicing introns. This processing involves the U7 snRNP, which contains only one RNA species: U7. Lineage: Eukaryota; Metazoa; Chordata; Mammalia; Carnivora; Otariidae. The record is from RNAcentral.
AAAUGUUACAGGUCUUUUAGAAUUGGUCUACCAGGUUUUCUGGUCCUUAAUGGAAGACCCCU